CCUCCGGGAGGCAGCCGUGGGGAGUAUUGCACAAUGGGGGAAACCCUGAUGCAGCAACGCCGCGUGAGCGAAGAAGGCCUUCGGGUCGUAAAGCUCUGUCAUAAGGGAAGAAGCAUGACGGUACCUUAGGAGGAAGCCCCGGCUAACUACGUGCCAGCAGCCGCGGUAAUACGUAGGGGGCGAGCGUUAUCCGGAAUCACUGGGAGUCCAGGGUGCGUAGGCGGGCGAUUAAGGCAGAGGUGAACAGCUCGAGCUCAACCGUAGUAAGCCCUUGGAAUUGAUUGGGUUGAGUGCAGGAGAGGAGCGUAUAAUUCCUAGUGUAGCGGUGAAAUUCGUAGAUAUUAACAGCAACACCACUGCCUAAGGCGACUCUCUUUACUGUAACUGACGCUGAGGCACGAAAUCUUGCGGAGCAAACCGCAUUAUCUCCCCCAUUAAUC
Molecule: ribosomal RNA, 440 nt
Filed under: uncultured bacterium
Lineage: Bacteria
Description: bacterial SSU rRNA
Rfam family: Bacterial small subunit ribosomal RNA
Source: RNAcentral